UCCUCUGUAAAUUCGUGCACAGUCCCUAAAAAUUUAAAUAACCUCAUAUAGUGUGUGCUGUGUGGAGUUUGGCUGAAGCCAACAUAGAGUGUGUUGGUGCCAUCACUUGGCAAAGUUUAGAAACGGAAAUUGCCCUGUGACACCUACCAUGGUGGUGACGGGUGACGGAGAAUUAGGGUUCGAUUUGGUCGAUUAAGACAGCAGGGCGGUGGUCAUGGAAGUUGAAAUCCGCUAAGGAGUGUGUAACAACUCACCUGCCGAAUCAACUAGCCCCGAAAAUGGAUGGCGCUGAAGCGCGCGACCCAUACCCGACCGUCGAGGCAAGUGCCAGGCCUCGAUGAGUAGGAGGGCGCGACGGUCGCCGCAAAACCUGGUGCGCGAGCCCAGGAGGAGCGGUCGUCGGUG
This 405-nucleotide non-coding RNA is filed under the name Cephalotus follicularis. RNAcentral's name for it is "Eukaryotic large subunit ribosomal RNA". It matches the Rfam family "Eukaryotic large subunit ribosomal RNA", at positions 1058 to 1444 of the family's 3401-position model. The record is from Rfam by way of RNAcentral. Lineage: Eukaryota; Viridiplantae; Streptophyta; Magnoliopsida; Oxalidales; Cephalotaceae.